GGCUCAUAAAGAACUCAUGGGGAGAGAAGUGGGGUGACAGUGGCUACUUCAAGAUGGAGCUGGGCAAGAACAUGUGUGGUGUUGCAACUUGUGCUUCAUACCCCAUUGUUGCUUAGAGUACGAGAAUGGCAGAGCUUCUUGCAAGGAAAGAUACUGUGCUAUUAAGGUACGGCUAUGGUGGGUAGAAUGAUGUGCAAAUUAAAGUUACAUAUUCUUGUAGUUGAUCAUUUAAUGCAAACUGUAACGUAAUGUACUUGUGGUUGUAAAUUUGCAUACUCAGAGAUGCUUGGAUAAGUUUUUUUAUUAUGUACUUGCUAAUAGCUCUUUUGAGGUUAUGUAAAUUUGCUGGCAGCUCCUCUAAAUAAUUUC
RNAcentral lists this unclassified non-coding RNA (369 nucleotides) under Hevea brasiliensis (rubber tree). The record is from RNAcentral. Lineage: Eukaryota; Viridiplantae; Streptophyta; Magnoliopsida; Malpighiales; Euphorbiaceae.